UGGUUGUCGUCAGCUUUGUGUCGUGAGAUGUUGGGUUAAGUCCCGCAACGAGCGCAACCCUUGAUCUUAGUUGCCAUCAUUAAGUUGGGCACUCUAAGGUGACUGCCGGUGACAAACCGGAGGAAGGUGGGGAUGACGUCAAAUCAUCAUGCCCCUUAUGACCUGGGCUACACACGUGCUACAAUGGACGGUACAAAGAGCUGCAAGACCGCGAGGUGGAGCUAAUCUCAUAAAACCGUUCUCAGUUCGGAUUGUAGGCUGCAACUCGCCUACAUGAAGCUGGAAUCGCUAGUAAUCGCGGAUCAG
Molecule: ribosomal RNA, 306 nt
Filed under: Bacillus cereus
Lineage: Bacteria; Bacillati; Bacillota; Bacilli; Caryophanales; Bacillaceae
Description: bacterial SSU rRNA
Rfam family: Bacterial small subunit ribosomal RNA
Source: RNAcentral